RNAcentral lists this ribosomal RNA (253 nucleotides) under uncultured bacterium. RNAcentral's name for it is "partial 16S ribosomal RNA". It matches the Rfam family "Bacterial small subunit ribosomal RNA", at positions 524 to 776 of the family's 1533-position model. The record is from RNAcentral.
UACGUAGGGUGCAAGCGUUAAUCGGAAUUACUGGGCGUAAAGCGUGCGCAGGUGGUUAUGUAAGAUAGAUGUGAAAUCCCCGGGCUUAACCUGGGAAUUGCAUUUAUGACUGCAUGGCUAGAGUGUGGCAGAGGGGGAUGGAAUUCCGCGUGUAGCAGUGAAAUGCGUAGAUAUGCGGAGGAACACCGAUGGCGAAGGCAAUCCCCUGGGCCUGCACUGACGCUCAUGCACGAAAGCGUGGGGAGCAAACAGG